GGAGUGUUAGCUUAGAGGGAAAGCAACUGCCUUACAAGCAGUAGACCGGGGUUCGAGUCCCUCACACUCCA
This is a non-coding RNA of Dallia pectoralis (Alaska blackfish), 71 nucleotides long. NCBI's taxonomy places the organism in Eukaryota, Metazoa, Chordata, Actinopteri, Esociformes, Umbridae. The record is from the annotation of a GenBank genome assembly.